Molecule: ribosomal RNA, 372 nt
Filed under: uncultured organism
Description: bacterial SSU rRNA
Rfam family: Bacterial small subunit ribosomal RNA
Source: RNAcentral
CGAAGGUGGCUAGCGUUGCUCGGAAUUACUGGGCAUAAAGCGCGCGUAGGUGGUCCUGUAAGCGAGGGAUGAAAGCCCAUGGCUCACCCAUGGAACUGUCCCUCGGACUGCAGGGCUGGAGGGCGGGAGGGGAGAAUGGAAUUCCCGGUGUAGCGGUGAAAUGCGUAGAUAUCGGGAGGAACGCCGGUGGCGAAAGCGAUUCUCUGGCCCGUUCCUGACACUGAUGCGCGAGAGCUAGGGGAGCAAACAGGAUUAGAUACCCUGGUAGUCCUAGCUGUAAACGAUGGGCACUGGGUAGAGGGGGUGUCGAUACUCUCUUUGCCGAAGCAAAUGUGUUAAGUGCCCCGCCUGGGGAGUACGGUCGCAAGGCUA